RNAcentral lists this ribosomal RNA (264 nucleotides) under uncultured Staphylococcus sp. RNAcentral's name for it is "partial 16S ribosomal RNA". It matches the Rfam family "Bacterial small subunit ribosomal RNA", at positions 96 to 355 of the family's 1533-position model. The record is from RNAcentral. Lineage: Bacteria; Bacillati; Bacillota; Bacilli; Caryophanales; Staphylococcaceae.
CGGCGGACGGGUGAGUAACACGUGGAUAACCUACCUAUAAGACUGGGAUAACUUCGGGAAACCGGAGCUAAUACCGGAUAAUAUAUUGAACCGCAUGGUUCAAUAGUGAAAGACGGUUUUGCUGUCACUUANAGAUGGAUCCGCGCCGCAUUAGCUAGUUGGUAAGGUAACGGCUUACCAGGCAACGAUGCGUAGCCGACCUGAGAGGGUGAUCGGCCACACUGGAACUGAGACACGGUCCAGACUCCUACGGGAGGCAGCAGC